Molecule: ribosomal RNA, 93 nt
Filed under: Anacolia laevisphaera
Lineage: Eukaryota; Viridiplantae; Streptophyta; Bryopsida; Bartramiales; Bartramiaceae
Source: RNAcentral
UGAUGCGGUCAUACCAAGGCUACUACACCAGAUCCCAUUAGAACUCUAAAGUUAAGCGCCUUAGGGCCGGAAUAGUACUGGGAUGGGUGACCU